RNAcentral lists this long non-coding RNA (204 nucleotides) under Salvia miltiorrhiza (redroot sage). Its description in RNAcentral is "long non-coding RNA (SMIL_LNC013784)". Lineage: Eukaryota; Viridiplantae; Streptophyta; Magnoliopsida; Lamiales; Lamiaceae. The record is from RNAcentral.
AAGGAUUGGAGCAAGAAAUCACCCCCUCCCUUUUUCCUUCAAAUUUUCGAAAAAAAUGGGUAUCUUACCCUUCAAAAAUUUUUCUUCUUCUUUCCUUGAAUUGAGGUGAGAAAAGUGAUCUAUGUGAUGUUUGGUGAUGAUUAGCAUGUGUUUUGAAAAGCUAUGCUUUGUGAUGUAAAAAUUUGGUUGAGUUAGUUUACCCAA